CAGCCCCUCCACCUCGCUCAUGGCUUCACUGAGCUCCUCCCGCAGGCGCUGAAUCUCCACCAGCAGCUCCUGCUUCCGCCGCCGGAUGUUCUCCAGCUCCAUCCGCUCCUCCGGAGUCAGGUCUGGGGGUUCUAGGGAUCGGGGUCAAGGUUUAAAAGUCAGUGCUAGGGGCCGUGAGCCUGAAUUCCUGCAAUCUGGGGGCGGACAGAGCUGGGAGAGGAUGUGUAAGGGGCUUCCUAUGUCUGCACAGAAGAAUGGGCUGGGGGCCUGGAUUCCUCCCUGCAGAGGAGAAAGAGCUGGGGCUCUAAACUCUUGAGUCCUGGGGGACAAGGGGAAUUGGGGCCCGGAUUCCUGAGUCUGAGGGAGAAGGGGAAUGGGUGCCUGAGCUCUUAGAUCUGAGGGAAGAAAGGGCUGGGGGCCUCGGCUUCUAGGUCCAUUACUUGGAAGGGGACUGAGGCCUUGGUUUUCUGACUCCAUUACUGGCGAGGUAGCUGGGGACCUGGUUAUCCGGACUACUGGGUCCAUGAAAAGUCACUACAGCCGGGGGAACUGAUGACAGCUCAGGAGAGUUGGGAAGGUGGGGCGGGACAUCGAAGGCCCCCGCCCCCCAAGAUUUCUCCCCUCCCCGCAACCCAAGCGCCCCUCCCCGGCCCCGGCAGGCGCUGGGCUCGCCCGCCCCUCCAGCGGGAAUGGUUCCGCCCCGGCCUCGCCUCCACCACUCCAUCCCGCCCCUCCCGCCGCCACCGGAAACAGGCUCAGCCCAAACAAUGGCCUGGAACGCCCGGCUUUCGGGCCCCGCCGGAAGCCCGUCCAGCGCCCAACAAAAGCGGCGCGACAAGUCUACGACUGAGCCGAACGCUUCUGGGCGCCGCGCGCCAGGGGGAAACGUUCGCGGCGGAACGUUCAGGAGAAAACGCUCCAGCAACUCCCAGCCGACCCCGCCCCUCCCCGACCUACCAUAGACGCCGUCCUCCAUGGCGGCUAGGAAGGCCCGCGGGGAAUCCGGGGCGGUCCCGCCAGUCGGGCCUGGAUCCGCGUUGGCCCGCGGGCUCGGGUGAGCCCGCUCAAACGCCCCGGGAGCCACCGCCGCCUCCUCAGCGCCAGUCCUCAGCGCUGAAAAGACUCUUCCCUUCGUCGCCCAACCGCCCCUUCAGUAGGGACCGCCCCUCUUUUUGACACUGUCCAAUCCACAGUGGGCGCUUUCGUCCUCCCCGCCCUCGCCACCAAAGGAUCGUUCUCCAGGGCCAACAGUCGUACAAAAAGCCGGUGUAGGUAUGUCCGGCCAGAGGUAGACGGCCCGCGGGGCCAAUCGGAGUGCAGGCAGGGCAGCAGGCCCCGCCUCCGAAACAACAGAAAGCACUUGACAGGCUUGCUCUCCAAUGAGAAGCCCCGGAAAAGUGUCGCGCGGAGGCGGAGCCACGCGGUACAGCCACCUCUGCGCCUGCUCAAAGGCCCUGGACACUUGGAGUCUAGAUGGGGAAACUGACAUGAAGAGGAGUCCAAAGUGACACAGUCAGGCCAGAAAUGUUGCUUCUGAAGUCCUGAGUCCACCUCCUAGCACUGCCAAGCAGUCCACCUGGAGGUGAUGAGAACUUCCAGGCUUUGGUAAUGGACAACUCUGUAUCCCUGGAGCCUUCAUUCCUUUUGGCAUUACAGAACCACAAGAAGUCAUCUAGAAUCAUUGAGAUUCUCAACUCCAUUGGGCAAACUGGAACCAGCAAAAUCUCAGAUAUCUAGAAUUGCCACUGCUUCCUUGACUCUGUGAUCAGUCUACAGCCACAGAAUCCUGAUUCCCUUUGGACAUUCUAGAAUGGCACUUUAAAAAAAAACAACCCACCCAGUGGAUCCUUUCAAAGCACUGCUUAUUCUCUUGGCUGGGUGCUCUACAGCCAGAAGUUGGAGUUAUCUAAUAUCAAGAACUCUUAAUCUGUCACUUCAGUCUUUCUAAACCCACAGACUAACAAUGUUUUGUGCAUUCUAGAAACAUUACUCUUUAGUUUCUGGAGUAGUUCAACUCUCCACGUAAAAUCUGUCCUAGACUCACCAGUGCUUGCCUCUGUGGUCAACCUAGACUCACAGAAUCUCAACUAAUGAGCUUUCUGGAACCACAGGUCUUUUUUUUUUUUUUGGUCUUUGGUCAAUCAAGAUGAUCUUGAAUACUUGGGGCAUUCCAUAACCUUCCCUCCUUAGGUGGUCUAGAACAAAUGAUUUGCUACUCAGUUGGCUGAGUUGAGAAGCAACACUCCCUUGAAUCUUAGGUGAAUCCAGACCUACAAACUCUUGAUAUCUGAUGCUGUUCAAGAACUGCCAACUUGCUUCCCCAGAGGCAGUCUAUACCAUUGGCUUCUCACCCUGGUCAACAAUCCAGGUCUCCCCAUAUAGAGGAAUCUAGAACUGCCAGUCUUUUCCUCUUGGGUGAUCCAGAAUUCUGGUGAGACUGAGGAAUCAGGCUCAUAAAGGGUUCUCAGGAGGGAGCACAGAAGCAGAGGAAUUAAGGUCCAGUAUGUCCAUGGUGGGUCACCAGGCAUGGCAGAACCUUACCACCUAGUCAUUUACCCAGCAGGCCUGUCGGUAUUCAGGAACACCUGCCCCCAUCCCAGGAGAGAGCCCCAUCCCUCCAUCUUGCUACCUUGGGGAAGGGGGCAUACACGGGGAAGGGGACAUCAGUUUGCAUCAUGGAGGCAGGGUCAGCGCCAGGGUUGGUGUGAGAACUCGGGGGCUAGCAGCCCCAUCUUCUGUUUCCACCCCAUUCCCUUCCUCAGUCUCAUCGUCCUCAUCUUCCUCCUGGCAGCAGCUCAGAGCAAGUUCAUUCUCAUAACAAAAUGCAGUCAGAGAGCCGGGGAAACUAGACUUGAGGCUGUGGGAAGCCUGCUCUGCCCGUUCAUCCAGCUCCUUAGCACUGCAGACCGGUGUCCCUGGGACCUCAUAAGUGCGAUGGAAGUGGCGAUAGUCGACCUCAUACUGGGAGCCACGCUGGAAGAGAACUGGCUCAAAACGAUGGCCCCAGAGCAGUUCACCAGGGAGGUAGGACGAGCGACACUGUGUGGUCAUGGCUGUGGCCUCAACCAUCCCCUCGAGAAUGACCACCAGCUCAAAGUCAGCCCUGGCCAGCUCGGCACGUCCUAGCUCAUACAGAGGACUGGCAGAGUCGAUCUCAUGGACGAUGGUGAUGGGGGACACGAGGAAGAUACGAUCGGUGCCUCCAUCAAAGCCCACAUCCACAUCCUGGUGGUCCAGCGGGAUGUACUCACCCUCUGGGGUCACACGGGGCUGCAGCAGGAGGCGAGGAGCCAAAGACAGCAGGGAGCACAGAGACGGGCAGAGACGAAGUGAGAGAGAGGAAGAGAUGCAGAGAAAGAAGGCAAAGACCACAGGAGUGAAGAAAAGGGUGAGAACACAGAUCAAGAGAUGGGGCCGGCAACCCAGAGAGAGAGGAAGUCAGAGAGGCAGGGGAGGGCACAGAAACCCAGUAAGGGAGCCAGAGACCCAGGAGGGGAGGAUGGAGGUCCAGAGAAAACAUGGGACAUGGGACAGAGACCCAGAGAUAAAGAGAGAGGAAAGAGACUCAGGGUUUGGGGGUAGAAAACGGGAAGAGGGGCGUGGUGGGGGAAGAGGAGAGAGGGACAGAGUGAUAUUGGCAUAGAGACACAGAAAUCAGCAAGACAGAGAUGAAAUCAAAGCGACAACGGAAAAUAAGGAUGACAUUCAACAGAGAAUUGGAGAAGGAGCGGGAGAGAAAAAUGGCUUUUAGUAUGUGGCCAGAGAAAGAUAAAUCAGAUGACAAGAAGGGGGAGUUAGGGCAACCUAGGUCCAACAUUCUGCACCCACCACUGCCUCAGGCUUAUCCCUGGGCUCUCCCCUGAGCUAUCCUAGCUGUCAGGGCAACUGCAAACCCUUCCAUGUCAUUCUGUGUGUGAGCACGCUUUGUGGGGGUGUGGGUAUUUCACCCCCGCCUACCCGCUGGUUCCAUAGCCACCUCCCAGGCCAAGUCACUGCCCCACCGACUUCUGCAAGAGCCAGUGUCCCUCCUAUUCAUGAAUCCUGGUAUCUCAAAGCUUCAGGCAGGAGAUUGAAGUGGGAGGUGGGCAUCUAUCCUCCUCUUGUAAGUGUCUCUGGAAGCCCCAAG
Molecule: long non-coding RNA, 4126 nt
Filed under: Homo sapiens (human)
Lineage: Eukaryota; Metazoa; Chordata; Mammalia; Primates; Hominidae
Description: non-protein coding lnc-LMTK3-4:5
Source: RNAcentral